Molecule: ribosomal RNA, 2905 nt
Filed under: Enterobacter asburiae
Lineage: Bacteria; Pseudomonadati; Pseudomonadota; Gammaproteobacteria; Enterobacterales; Enterobacteriaceae
Description: 23S ribosomal RNA
Rfam family: Bacterial large subunit ribosomal RNA
Source: RNAcentral
GGUUAAGCGACUAAGCGUACACGGUGGAUGCCCUGGCAGUCAGAGGCGAUGAAGGACGUGCUAAUCUGCGAAAAGCGCCGGCGAGGUGAUAUGAACCUUUGACCCGGCGAUGUCCGAAUGGGGAAACCCAGUGUGAUUCGUCACACUAUCGUUAACUGAAUACAUAGGUUAACGAGGCGAACCGGGGGAACUGAAACAUCUAAGUACCCCGAGGAAAAGAAAUCAACCGAGAUUCCCCCAGUAGCGGCGAGCGAACGGGGAGCAGCCCAGAGUCUGAAUCAGCUUGUGUGUUAGUGGAAGCGUCUGGAAAGUCGCACGGUACAGGGUGACAGUCCCGUACACGAAAGCACACAGGUUGUGAACUCGAAGAGUAGGGCGGGACACGUGGUAUCCUGUCUGAAUAUGGGGGGACCAUCCUCCAAGGCUAAAUACUCCUGACUGACCGAUAGUGAACCAGUACCGUGAGGGAAAGGCGAAAAGAACCCCGGCGAGGGGAGUGAAAAAGAACCUGAAACCGUGUACGUACAAGCAGUGGGAGCACCUUCGUGGUGUGACUGCGUACCUUUUGUAUAAUGGGUCAGCGACUUAUAUUCUGUAGCAAGGUUAACCGUAUAGGGGAGCCGAAGGGAAACCGAGUCUUAACUGGGCGUUAAGUUGCAGGGUAUAGACCCGAAACCCGGUGAUCUAGCCAUGGGCAGGUUGAAGGUUGGGUAACACUAACUGGAGGACCGAACCGACUAAUGUUGAAAAAUUAGCGGAUGACUUGUGGCUGGGGGUGAAAGGCCAAUCAAACCGGGAGAUAGCUGGUUCUCCCCGAAAGCUAUUUAGGUAGCGCCUCGUGAACUCAUCUUCGGGGGUAGAGCACUGUUUCGGCUAGGGGGCCAUCCCGGCUUACCAACCCGAUGCAAACUACGAAUACCGAAGAAUGUUAUCACGGGAGACACACGGCGGGUGCUAACGUCCGUCGUGAAGAGGGAAACAACCCAGACCGCCAGCUAAGGUCCCAAAGUCAUGGUUAAGUGGGAAACGAUGUGGGAAGGCACAGACAGCCAGGAUGUUGGCUUAGAAGCAGCCAUCAUUUAAAGAAAGCGUAAUAGCUCACUGGUCGAGUCGGCCUGCGCGGAAGAUGUAACGGGGCUAAACCAUGCACCGAAGCUGCGGCAGCGACGCUUAGGCGUUGUUGGGUAGGGGAGCGUUCUGUAAGCCGUUGAAGGUGUGCUGUGAGGCAUGCUGGAGGUAUCAGAAGUGCGAAUGCUGACAUAAGUAACGAUAAAGCGGGUGAAAAGCCCGCUCGCCGGAAGACCAAGGGUUCCUGUCCAACGUUAAUCGGGGCAGGGUGAGUCGACCCCUAAGGCGAGGCCGAAAGGCGUAGUCGAUGGGAAACAGGUUAAUAUUCCUGUACUUGGUGUUACUGCGAAGGGGGGACGGAGAAGGCUAUGUUAGCCGGGCGACGGUUGUCCCGGUUUAAGCAUGUAGGCGGAGGUUCCAGGUAAAUCCGGUACCUUUUAACGCUGAGGUGUGAUGACGAGGCACUACGGUGCUGAAGUAACAAAUGCCCUGCUUCCAGGAAAAGCCUCUAAGCAUCAGGUAACAUCAAAUCGUACCCCAAACCGACACAGGUGGUCAGGUAGAGAAUACCAAGGCGCUUGAGAGAACUCGGGUGAAGGAACUAGGCAAAAUGGUGCCGUAACUUCGGGAGAAGGCACGCUGAUAUGUAGGUGAAGCCCCUGCGGGUGGAGCUGAAAUCAGUCGAAGAUACCAGCUGGCUGCAACUGUUUAUUAAAAACACAGCACUGUGCAAACACGAAAGUGGACGUAUACGGUGUGACGCCUGCCCGGUGCCGGAAGGUUAAUUGAUGGGGUUAGCGGCAACGCGAAGCUCUUGAUCGAAGCCCCGGUAAACGGCGGCCGUAACUAUAACGGUCCUAAGGUAGCGAAAUUCCUUGUCGGGUAAGUUCCGACCUGCACGAAUGGCGUAAUGAUGGCCAGGCUGUCUCCACCCGAGACUCAGUGAAAUUGAACUCGCUGUGAAGAUGCAGUGUACCCGCGGCAAGACGGAAAGACCCCGUGAACCUUUACUAUAGCUUGACACUGAACACUGGUCCUUGAUGUGUAGGAUAGGUGGGAGGCUUUGAAGCGUGGACGCCAGUCUGCGUGGAGCCGACCUUGAAAUACCACCCUUUAAUGGCUGGUGUUCUAACGUAGACCCGUGAUCCGGGUUGCGGACAGUGUCUGGUGGGUAGUUUGACUGGGGCGGUCUCCUCCCAAAGAGUAACGGAGGAGCACGAAGGUUAGCUAAUCCUGGUCGGACAUCAGGAGGUUAGUGCAAUGGCAUAAGCUAGCUUGACUGCGAGAGUGACGGCUCGAGCAGGUGCGAAAGCAGGUCAUAGUGAUCCGGUGGUUCUGAAUGGAAGGGCCAUCGCUCAACGGAUAAAAGGUACUCCGGGGAUAACAGGCUGAUACCGCCCAAGAGUUCAUAUCGACGGCGGUGUUUGGCACCUCGAUGUCGGCUCAUCACAUCCUGGGGCUGAAGUAGGUCCCAAGGGUAUGGCUGUUCGCCAUUUAAAGUGGUACGCGAGCUGGGUUUAGAACGUCGUGAGACAGUUCGGUCCCUAUCUGCCGUGGGCGCUGGAGAAUUGAGGGGGGCUGCUCCUAGUACGAGAGGACCGGAGUGGACGCAUCACUGGUGUUCGGGUUGUCAUGCCAAUGGCACUGCCCGGUAGCUAAAUGCGGAAAAGAUAAGUGCUGAAAGCAUCUAAGCACGAAACUUGCCCCGAGAUGAGUUCUCCCUGACCCUUUAAGGGUCCUGAAGGAACGUUGAAGACUACGACGUUGAUAGGUCGGGUGUGUAAGCGCAGCGAUGCGUUGAGCUAACCGAUACUAAUGAACCGUGAGGCUUAACCUU